UUUCCGUAGGUGUACCUGCGGAAGGAUCAUUAUCGUACAAAAUGUGAGGGGCAUGCGAGGGCUGUCGCUGACCCAAAAGUCAUGCACGCCCGAGUGUGUCCUCUUGCAUAAUAAUCCAUCUCACCCUUUGUGCAUCACCGCGUGGGCACCCUUCGGGAUCAUCUCGGAGGGGGGCUCGCGUUUUCACACAAACCCCCCUUUUAAAAGUGUAGAAUGACCACAUUUAUGCAAUCAAUACAACUUUCAACAACGGAUCUCUUGGCUCUC
This 267-nucleotide unclassified non-coding RNA is filed under the name plant metagenome. Its description in RNAcentral is "partial contains small subunit ribosomal RNA, internal transcribed spacer 1, and 5.8S ribosomal RNA". The record is from RNAcentral.